RNAcentral lists this long non-coding RNA (3902 nucleotides) under Mytilus galloprovincialis (Mediterranean mussel). The record is from RNAcentral. Lineage: Eukaryota; Metazoa; Mollusca; Bivalvia; Mytilida; Mytilidae.
UGUCGCAAUUUUUGCAAUAAUUAAAACAUGGCAAUAAUUUUGAUUUACAGUAUUAGAGAGAUUCAACUAGAAACACUAUUUUCUAGGUUUUACAACAAAGAGUGAUUUUACUAGAUCAUGAAGUGUUUACUGUAGUCUGGUACUAGAUUUUGAAAUAUGGAUUUCGGCUCAGUUUUCUCUAAAUUCAAAUUUUUUGGGUGCAUUCAUUAUUUCGAAUUUUUAAAAAGAUGGGAAAAAAAUGGGGGAAAUAUUGUUUACAAAUAAUGCAAUCAUUGCCACACACAUCCUGCAGCAAUUUUUCACCAAGAUGUCUGAAUUUACUAUUUAUCUGCUAUUCUUAUGUACACCUUUGUUUUUAAUGAUUUGGUGAACAAUAUGUAUUCAAGUUUACAUAUAGAUGUAUUUGUUAAGUUUUCAUAUCAUGUCUUUGGUUGUAUGCUUUUAAACUUUUGUUGCUAUUAUAACUAUAACUUAUGUACUAAAAAUAUUGUAACCUUGUUCAGGGGAUAGUUUUGAAUCUGCUUUUAAAAUGAGCUGCGUCGGAUUGAAACUUAUCUUAGAGGGUUUGGAUGGGGUUAAAUGAUCAAAGAAUAAUGCCCUUAAAAAAUGAAGAUUAGAGAAUAACGGACAAAAAAAAUAAAGAUUAGAGAAAAAAGGGGUAAAUUUUUUGAAGAUUAGAGAAAAAAGGGGUUAAUUUUUUAAAGAUUAGAGUAAAAAGGGGUGAAAAUUAAAUGUUUACAGAAUAACAGACCCCCCCCAUCCAGACCCUCAUCUUAUGCAAAUGAAUAUUUAUACAUCUGUUAACCUAUUUUGGAUUUAAAAAAUGUCUACGGAAAGUCUGAAUUUAGCUGUGUCAAAAUUGAAUUUUUUAUAAUAACCCUAUAAAACAGACAAAAUUCAUCAUUUUAUUUCUUAUUUGAAUAUUUAAAAAAUGUAAUCGACUAAAGUUUUAUACAUUUAUAUGUAUACAAGCACUUGCAUAAGGUUGUUUCUAUCAGAUGCAGCUCAAAUAUUAUUUAGUGAUUACAUAUUUUUAAACUAGAUACAAUGUUCAAACUAGUUAUUUGAGCCAGUUUAUGCAGUGGCAGAUUUAGGGAAAGGGGCCUAGAGGGCUUUACAAGGUUGCAACAGUACUAACAAAGUUUACAUACUUUAUACAAAUGUUUUGCAAUGAAUGUUGAAGAUUUUUUUUUAAUGUGGGUCAUUUCAGGGUUUUGUAGGUUUUUAUUUAAAAUGACCGAUCUUAAUCCCUUAAAUAAUUGCAUGUGUCUUGUUUUGCUCUUUGCUCUGCCAGAAAUAGACUCUGCCGACUUUGCAUCUUAAGUUCAUCAAGUCAACUUGGUUUCAAGAUAAUUAUGGACUUUGUGUUAUAAGAUUGAAUUGAUCAGUUUUAUGCAAUAACAUAGCUUUACUUUACCAGUAUUGGCUUUAUUGUUUCAUUUGAUUAUGUUAUCAGGUUUCCCCUCACCCCGCAUAUCCAUUAACUAUUCCCACUGGACAUUAAACAAACAACAACCAUUUGAUAUUUGACCUCCAUGGGUCAAUUGAAAUGGUUAUCAUAACAACAAUUACAGUUAUAUUGAUUGAAAAAAUUUCAACAAUAUUGACCCAGUAUUUUUAUUUGAUGAAUAGUACUUGAAUAUAUAUGAGGAUCUAGAGGGGGUUCCUGAAUUUCUGUAUAGUUAAAUUUUUCAGGCCAUUUUUCUGUAUCUAUACAAAUAAUGACAAUUUUUUAAUAAUUCUUGUACAAACAGAUUUUGCUGUUAAUUGUUUCUGAAAUUAAUUAUAUGAUUUCUUUAUUCCGUAGUUUGUUCAUUUCUGUAUUAUCCUUAUUAUAUUACGUAGUCUUUAAUUUUCUACAGUUAUUCUUUAUACUUUUGCACCCCAUUUUUCUCUCGAUUAUUUUGUAUGAUCAUUAUAUUAUUUGGCUAUUAUUCUCUAUUCUGUAAACCCCAUCCAGACCCUCAUAAAUCAAAUGUUACUUUUAAACAUCAAGAUAAGUUCCUUUCCUGAAAGUACGAUCCUUUGGGAACCUUCAUGAAAAAAAAGUCAAGUUUUUUAUAAUACUGUAUACUGACCUGAGUUGACCAAUGGUAUUUAACUAACAAAACAUAUUUCUUUUUUUUUCCUUCAUAAAGUAUUGUCUCAAGUAUUUCAGUAUUCCCUUACAACUUUUCCUGGAAUAACUAUAAUUCAUUAUCUGAAUCAAGUUAGGUAGUCCUGAUCAUGGUAAAGUUGGGCAAAUUGUAGAUUCUUUGUUAGUAAUUUAAUUCAGCUAGAGUUAUUUCCCUUUGGGCACAUUUUUUUUUUUCUUUCAUGUAAUUUAUGUAUUAGAGUUUGACACCUUUUAAAAUUUUUUUGUGAAAAUGUCAACUACAUUGAUAUUUUGAAAUUAUGUUAAUUUAAUGAUAUCUUAUUGACAACUUUUUGUCAACUUCUUAUGAUAAAUGUAUACAAUAUACCUUUAGAAAAGUCGACAUAUCUUGUAAAAUACAAAAAAAUGGAUAUGUUUCUUUUGAAGUUAAAUAAGACUGAAUUUACACAUUACUGAAGUUUCAUGCUUUAAUAUUUUAAAAGUUUUUAUUUUUACUAUUCAGGAUCAUACGAUUGGAACAAUUACAGUUUUUAUUUUAGAAGUUUUUAAACAGAGUUUUUUUUUAUUAUAUGAUGAUUGUCAGUAUAUAGUUCAUUCAUUUUAUUCUCUUUGUUAAAUAUGUUGAAUUGUUAUGUUCAGACUGUAUACUUUAAAAAAAAAAAACACCUUUUGAAACAGAGAAUCUAUCAUUAAAAUUAUGAGUAUUAUGUUAGAGCUUAGUACUUUGAAAAACUACAUUAAACAGUUUAUAAAACAUUCAGUGCUAGUAAUACAAAUGUAUAUAUAUUGAAAUACUUGUCUGAAAUUUUUAAACAACCUUUUACACUUGGGGCAAUGAAUUUCCCAACAACUGGGUUUGUCUCGUUGUGGAAGGUAGCAAUGUUUCUUAUAAUUGUUUAUACCCAUGCCGAAUAGUAAGCUAUUAAAGACACAGGAUAUCAGUAGUGAAAGAAAAUAAAUAGUUUGAGCUAAUAACAUUAUACAAAAAUACAAAUCUGACUGGCGGCAAACAAUGACAACUACUGGAUUACACAAUCAUUGAUUGUUUACACAAUUUAAGUGUUCUGGAUUACAGAUAGUUAUUUAAAACAGGGAUCUUUUUUUUCUAGUUAUGGCUUUUCCUUUUAUGAAUAAUUAUGGUAUAAACAUUUUUAUACGACUGCAAAAAUUGAAAAUUUUUGGUCGUGUAUUGGUAUGACGUUGGCGUCGUCAUCAUCCGAAAACAUUUGGUUUUCGCACUAUAAUUUUAUCAUAAGUGAAUAGAAAUCUAUGAAAUUUAACCACAAGGUUUAUGACCACAAAAGGAAGAUUGGGAUUGAUUUUGGGAGUUAUGGUCCCAACAGUUUAGGAAUUAGGGGAAAAAAAGGGCCCAAAUAAGCAUUUUCUUGGUUUUUGCACAAUUAAUUUUAGAAUAAGUAAAUAGAAAUCUAUGAAAUAUAAACACAAGGUUAAUGACCACAAAAGGAAGGUUGAGAUUCUCCCUCUUUUGGAAAUUUUAAUUUUAAGCAGUUGGAAAUAAAAUUAAAGUUGUCUUUAAAUUAAAAUCAUCAUUAUCAUUCAUGAACGAAAAUUAAAACAACUUGAGAAUGUCAUGUCUUUAAAGCACAUUGCAAUACUACAUAGAUGAAUAAUUUAUUUUGCAAGCUUAUAGAAAUAUUACAUUUCCACAUUAUUUUGAAAUGUCUUUUUAUGUAUUUAUGAUUUUUAAUGUUAUUGUACUAGAUUUUAUCAUUUGUACAUAAAAACUUUACAUCAUUGUUUUAUUGAUAUAUGUCAUAUAUAUGUUAUUGUAAUAAUAAAAACUGUG